AGUAAUAUGGUAUCAACUAUUCUUCAUUGCUACUUAUUAGAUUCUAGGCACUAUUCUAAGAUUUCACAUCAGGACUUUUCAACAGCAGCACUAUGACAUUUUUUCUAGAUAAUUCUUUGCGGUUGGAGGGGGCUACAGGAUAUAGGAUGUUUAGGAGCAUCCCUCACUUCAACCCACUGGAGGCCAGUAGGGUCCCUUCCUGCCCCAAUCGCUUGUACCAACCAGGAUGUCAACCAGAUAUUGCCAAAGCUCCCCUGUGGGUGGGGUUGGGGACAGAAUUGCCCCUGAUGAGAGGCGCUGCCUCACGUGAGCUCUGUCAUUUAAUCUUCACAAUUCUCCGAGGUGGGUCCUAUUACUAGUCCUGGUUUACAGAUGAGGAAACUGAGGCACAGGGAGGUAAAUAUUUGCCCCGAUAAUGCUGCACUAAAAAUGCUUCUGAAAAAGGGAAGCUCGUAAACAAUUGUCAUCGAGGGUCUGGAAGAGAGCGCUGAUGUAAUUAAGGAGGGUGUCUCAGGCUGAGUAUGAGGAAACCCUACUGCUAACCCUCUGUUGUUACCUCCCAUCCCUCGGUCCUCUCGUCUGUGCUGUGGGAGUGGGGAGCGGCAGGUCUUUCAUGCUCCUUCUGCUAGUGGAAUUCCUGCUUUCUAGCAUCCCUUCAUUUCAUCACUGGGUGCUUGUUUGCUCAGGAUUAUGCCUCAUCUUCGUAAGUCAGACAUGAUCCUGGCGCUUCAGACACUCAGCUUUGCAACUCCCUCAAAAUGGGAGCCACAGGCAUGUGGGGGGUUGAGCUUUAUCCUGCCCAGCCCCUCGCUCAGUGGGGGUGAACAGAGUGAGAGGCAGGACUUGAAAGUAUUUGCCCAGAAUCAUACAGCAAGAUAGCAUCAUGUGCAAGAGGCAGCCAUGUGUACUCCGAGUCCACACUGCCAUUCUUGUUGGCCUUUGCAGGCCGGCCUCCUGAAAAACUUGUCUCUGCUCACUUCUUCAGUCUCUUCUCCUUCUGUCUUCCCUUCAACCUACUCUAAUCAGAAGAUAGAGACAGAAGUAAGCAGUGAACUAGGCAGGACCAAACCAAACCAAGAGUUGUGUGUUGACCAGCCAAUGAGGAAGUUAUGUGUGGGAGAGAACAUGGUAAACUAUGUCUUCUUCUCCCCCAUGUCUAUGUCUGUGUGUGUGCGUGCAUGCGUGUGUGUGUGUGUGUGUGUGGUGGGGGGAGGCUGGUAUUUUAUUUAUUGGACAAAUAUUUAUUGUCUAGCACUAUGUGCCAAAUACCAACUUAAGACAUCUAUAAGAAUUUCAAUUUCUCUGAGACCCAGGCUAAGAUUUUCCAUUAAAUUCACAUGAGUCUAUUACAUCUCUUUCUUUCAUUUCCACCUGGGUAGUCAGGAAAACACAUUAGACAUAUUUUUAAAAAUUAAAGUUAACACAGAGUGUUACAAACUUUGAGAGAAGCAAUAAUUUUGAGUUGCACUAGUAAUCACAGCAACAACCCCAAAUACCACAUUUAUUGUCUCUUACAAAGCAUCAUAAGUUACAUUAAUCACUGGUUUUAACUACAUUCUGUUACAGUUUGGACUCUAGUAACUAGGCAAAUACAAACCAACAAAACAGCAUAUAAAACCACAUGGAACAAAAAGCACACUACUCUCCAAUAUGCAUUUUCUGGAGCCAAUCUGAUAUUUAACUGGGAUAAGACAUUCUAAAUAGCAACUGAAAUAUUGAUAUACCAGAACAUCAUGAAAUAAAUAUUUUUCCCAACUCUGAAGACAUUCCUUUCCUCAUGCAAAAUUUACCAAAAAGAAAAAAAAAAAGGAAAAAACAAAAAAUAAACAAAAAACCAGGCUGGGCAUGGUGGCUCACACCUGUAAUCCCAGCUUGGGAGGCCGAGGUGGGUGGAUCACCCGAGGUCAGGAGUUUGAGACCAGCCUGGCCAACAUGGUGAAACCUUAUUUCUACUAAAAAUACAAAAAUUUGCUGGAUGUGGUGGUGCAUGCCUGUAAUCCCAGCUACUUGGGUGGCUGAGGCAGGAGAAUCGCUUGAACCCAGGAGGCGGAGGUUGCACUGAGCCGAGAUUGCACCAUUGCACUCCAGCCUGGGUGACAAGACCAAAACUACGUCUCAAAAAAAAAAAAAAAAAACAAAAAAAAGAAAACCCUACAAAACCAACCCAAGUUCAUAGUAACCAGAAUUUUCAAAUAUUUCUCUGUGAUCAGCACCUAAAAAUGUAUUUUAAAAUGCUUAUUUUAAUGGCCAGGCACAGUGGCUCAGGCCUGUAAUUCUAGCUGGGAGGCAGAGGCGGGUGGAUCACCUGAGGUCAAGAGUUCAAGACCAGCCUGGCCAACAUAGUGAAAUCCCAUUUCUAGUAAAAAUACAAAAAUUAGGCAUCGUAGUGUGGACCUGUAGUUUCAGCUACUUGGGAGGCUGAGGCAGGAGAAUCGCUUGAAUCUGGGAGGCAGAGGCUGGAGUUAGCCAAGAUGGCACCAUUGCACUCCAGCCUGGGUGACAGAGCGAGACUCCGUCUC
RNAcentral lists this long non-coding RNA (2519 nucleotides) under Homo sapiens (human). RNAcentral's name for it is "non-protein coding lnc-KCNK9-4:1". Lineage: Eukaryota; Metazoa; Chordata; Mammalia; Primates; Hominidae. The record is from RNAcentral.